Molecule: long non-coding RNA, 2754 nt
Organism: Neofelis nebulosa (Clouded leopard)
Lineage: Eukaryota; Metazoa; Chordata; Mammalia; Carnivora; Felidae
Exons: 8
Source: RefSeq, a predicted model, not a curated record
CAGGCGAGGCAGCCAUCGCCUAAGACACCUAAGAGGAAAGGAAGAAGUAGGACUGCUGACUUUCUCCUGCCCUCCAAAGCUGAGCCAGUGUCUGCUCUUGGGAGAGCAGGUCAAAAGCCAUUUGACAAAGGGACCUAAGAAACAUAACAUGCAAGGAUUCUCUCCCUUCGCCCUCCUACCCCCAGAAGAGCAGAGGAGGGUAAGAAAUGGAUGUGAGAGCAGAGUUAAAUGAUGGGCGAAGUCCACUAGAAUAAAAGAAACGGGAGGACUGGAGGUGCACAUCUGGUUCCUGCUUUAUCCCCAGCCUGACACCUGAAAAACACUGUACCACAUAGAGGAAGUAUUCAACAAAGAGUUGUGAAAUCAAUUUUAGCUAACUGAACCUCCUAUUUCUCAUUUACCAAAUUCUCUGCUAUAAUUAAUAUACUGUGUAUCUGUGAAACUCUAUCACAGGAUACGAUUCAAAAGCGAGAGGCCUUAUUAUGGGUUUUGUUCCUUGAUUUAGUGCUAGCACUUAGAACAUGCUUGGCCCGUAGUACGUGCUCUAGAUAUAUUUGCUAGACCGAUGGAUCAAAGUUUUGUAGAGUGGAGAAGGCUACCUUAUCAUCUUGACUGGAGUGUGGUACAUCAAAAUAAAUGUAUCAUGAAACUGUUAGGCUGGGUGUCAGAAUUCCUCAAGGCCAGAUUUGCAGAAGAGAUUCACGUAAAGAACGUGUGGAAAUAUACUUGCAAGGUGGAGUCAUUUUAGUGUACUCAGACUCGAAGGCAAGAGGGUAGACUAAUUCUCCCCAUUCCCCCAAAUGACCUUUCAUGUUCUCCUUCAGCCUUUACUUCCAUAAAACGUGUAAUUGCCCUUUCUGGCAGUUCAUAGAAAAGUGCUUUUCCCAGCCCUUGUAGGUUGCCCUGGAUGGAAAAUGCCCUGGGUUCUCACAGACUUAACACCCGGCCUUGUGAACAUGAGCAAGAUUAUUCUCUCCGAGCAGCUCUUUUCACAUGUGAUACGCUUGGCAGGCUGCCCUGGUAAGUGUCAAGCCCUGAAUGUUUUUGUUUUUGCCCUGGUGGUCCUGAGGAGUUACUGGAAUACUUCUGGGGAUCUGUUUUGUAUCAAACUGUGGGCCGAUAGUGACAUUGAGAAGAAGCAGGUAGAGACAGAGAGAGGGCUCUGGACUACAUCGCAUUUAAUUCUGAUAGCAGACUCCCUGUCUGCCCUGGCUGCCUCAAAGCUUCCUUCGGUCUUUCUUUGGCUCCUUCACUUUGUGCUUCUCAGUGUUACAGGGCAAUCUUUUGUGUGCAUGUGUUCCCCUUUUGCUCCCCAGAGAGGCUUGUCAAAACUCCUUAUCUGCUGAUGAAUGAAAGGAAUUUCUCCUGUGCGGGCGGGACCUGGUUAAUGCAGCUCUGGCCAGCACGGGUAGGUCACUGAGUUAAGGGAGCACCGAAAGGCAAAAUGCGCUGAAAAUAUCAGAGUAGCUGUUGUGCCAGGAAGCUCCAUCAGCAGGCAUUUUCCUCCAAGCAGAGGGAGGGACAGGAAGAAGAGGCCUUGCAGCUUCCUCUUACUUUGCCUCAUGACCCCUAAACUCAAUUUCUGAAUGAGGAAAACUACUCACAGAAGUAUAUCCUGGAAGCAGAUCGUUUGCUUUAAAAGUCGGGAAGAAGCAGAUGAUCUGAGGAACACUGUCUUCCACAUGAGGCUUCAUGAGUGGUUUCCAGCACUCCCCUGUGGACAUGCGAUAUGCGGUCUAGCAAAGAGAGAGAGAAAGCGAAUGGGGGAAAGGACCAGAGGGAGAGAGAGAAUCUCAAGCACAAUCAGUACAGAGCCCAACAGGUGGCUUGAUCUCAUCACCCUGGGAUCAUGACCUGAGCCAGAGUCAAGAGUCGGACGCUCAACCAGCUGAACCACCCAGAUGAGGAAACUGAACUCCAGAGAGUUUAAGCAACGUCCUGAAAGCUGCUAGAUAAUAAAGGUGGAGCCGGAUCUGGACCCCGGGAGAUUCACCUCCUCCCAAUAUGCCUUGCUUCCUGUUCACACAGCCACAUUGUUGGAAGAGAAUUCCCAUAAUUCUACACAUCUGGUCAUAUGAGUCAUUAGAUCAAAUCAUAUAAUAGCAUGGAGAAUUUCCGAAAAUGUUCCAUGAGGCUGAUUUACAAGAUAAGCUGUUGGAGGAAAUUAAAUCCACACCUCCCAGGACUUUGGAUUUUAUUUGUUUCCGGAGUUGGGAACACAGCUGCCGGUCAUGAGUGAAUAUCUGCCCCGAUUUGUCUCCAAGAAGGGUAAGAUGAAAGUUAAUGGAAGCCCCACAAUUUCUGACUUCUGUAUCUGUGAUGAAAGCACCAUACGUUGUCUCCGAGGUGUGUUUAUUUCUUUUCUUCGAAACCUGGUUUCAACUCCUGAAGAAGUUCAGCAUCACUGUUGACUUAGUGACAUGACACAAUCUAUUGUCACUAUAUGAUGAUUUCCAAAUUGGAUCCACGAUGUGAGUUUGAAUCACAGAAUUGAGGCCAAGUGGGAUGAAGAGAGAUGCGACUGUGGCAGUAACGGAAGUCAUGAUGUUUAUCUCUCCAGUACACUUAGCAACUUAUUUAACUUCAAAAUAUUUUUGUUUUAUGUCAGGUUUUUGCUUGUUUGUUUCUCUGGAUGUGAAUCAGAGAAGAUACUGGGUGUGAGAGCUUCAGGGAUGGCUAAAGAAGGAUGCAAAUAAAACUUACUUCCAAAGAGAAUAGUAAAAAAAUAAAAUAAAAUAAACACAUUUGCAUUAA